This 70-nucleotide transfer RNA is filed under the name Camelus bactrianus (Bactrian camel). It matches the Rfam family "tRNA". From Rfam's summary of the family: Transfer RNA (tRNA) molecules are approximately 80 nucleotides in length. Lineage: Eukaryota; Metazoa; Chordata; Mammalia; Artiodactyla; Camelidae. The record is from Rfam by way of RNAcentral. RNAcentral also lists the same sequence under 1 other name.
GGAUAUAGUUCAGUGGUAAAGCAAGUGCUUAGCAUGCACAAGGUCCUGGGUUCAAUCCUCAGUACCUCCA